AGCAGUCGCCGCGGUAAUACGUAGGUCCCGAGCGUUGUCCGGAUUUAUUGGGCGUAAAGCGAGCGCAGGCGGUUAGAUAAGUCUGAAGUUAAAGGCUGUGGCUUAACCAUAGUACGCUUUGGAAACUGUUUAACUUGAGUGCAAGAGGGGAGAGUGGAAUUCCAUGUGUAGCGGUGAAAUGCGUAGAUAUAUGGAGGAACACCGGUGGCGAAAGCGGCUCUCUGGCUUGUAACUGACGCUGAGGCUCGAAAGCGUGUGGAGCAAACAGGAUUAGAUACCCCCGUAGUCCCUGUCUCUUAUACA
RNAcentral lists this ribosomal RNA (303 nucleotides) under uncultured bacterium. RNAcentral's name for it is "partial 16S ribosomal RNA". It matches the Rfam family "Bacterial small subunit ribosomal RNA", at positions 507 to 808 of the family's 1533-position model. The record is from RNAcentral.